Molecule: long non-coding RNA, 1272 nt
Organism: Petromyzon marinus (sea lamprey)
Lineage: Eukaryota; Metazoa; Chordata; Hyperoartia; Petromyzontiformes; Petromyzontidae
Source: RefSeq, a predicted model, not a curated record
AGGCUAUACGGGGGAUCUUUGUCUUCUUGUGUGUGUGAGUCAGUGAGCGCGUGGUCACGGAGCUUUGAGCGCACUGAGCGUGUGCGCCUGCGCCAUGGCCCGCUUAAUCCAUAACAAAUUAGUACAUCGCCCCGCGAGUUCUAAGACGAUUAACACACUGUUUUCUAACAUUACACGGGGCAGAUUGAAAGGCAAAUUUCAUGCCUUUCAGCCUGAGCCCUCGUUUAACCGCCAGCCAGAAUACUUUCCCCUCGCAGAGAAGAGACAGCGGCGAACGGCGGGGUGGGAGAGGCAUGAUAAUGACUCCGCAAAUUAGCGCCGGCGUACACGCGACAAAUUUGAUUGCGCGCAAGAUAAGCAGUUAAUCCCCUUAACAUUGGACAAUACAGUUGCUCUCGGACAGAUAAGGCGCCGGUGUUGGCUCAUAAUUCGAGCGGGCCGGCGUCCGCUCGCCUUGCCCCCCCAUUCCGCCGGCUCUAAUCUCGUAGCGGCAUCUGAAGCUUGCUCGUAGCGGCGGCUGCGCUCUCGCGAUAUCGGAGCGAGCCGGGCAGAUGGCGGUGAACCGGCCUCGACACUUUAUUAAUCCUGACAAGUUCUUCCCCACUAACGGCGCAAAAAAAUAAUAAUCAUAAAAAAAAUAAAAAAAACCGACCGGUCCGCUCCGUGUCCUCUCGCCGCCGCUCAUUCGGCGCUCUCGCAAGGACCACGGCAGACAGUCCCGCACGCGGUGGUGUCAUCUGGCAUCACGGAAGGAUCCAGGGAUUGUGGGCUGAGUCAACUUCUUUACCUUACAACCUUCCGAUUCGAGUUGCUGACCCUACUGGUUGAGCCACCUGGCCGGGGAGCGGUGGCAUAGUGGUUGGCGCACUCCGCCUGCUAUGAAUAGUUCGUUCGAUUCCCGUCUACGGCUAACAUCAGUGGUUUCACGCCAGCGGAGCCCUCCUCGGUCGCCAGCUUUCGCCUCCCUCGACGCCUCUCUCCGCCACCUAUGGAGAGACGCAGGGGCAAAAUCAGGAAGCGAUUAGGAGCGGAGGUGAUUCUGUAAAUACUCUUAGACAGCGCAACAAAGCGCUGUUUGUGGAGAGCUUAUUAGCACGGAGCCAUUAUAACGGCUGUCAUGUUGUCCUUUCUUUGCUCGUUCGCUACCCCCGUUUCGCCUCUUCAAUGUAGGGGGUGGAGGGGGGGGGGGGCACUCGGAGGACCCCGUAUGGCCGCACCGUCUUUGUCUGCGCCUGAUGGGGCGGAGACUUCGAAAGGGUGGGGGGGGGGACG